This 1002-nucleotide unclassified non-coding RNA is filed under the name Hevea brasiliensis (rubber tree). The record is from RNAcentral. Lineage: Eukaryota; Viridiplantae; Streptophyta; Magnoliopsida; Malpighiales; Euphorbiaceae.
UAUAAUUUCAGAGUGGAUGGGCUACAUGCUUUUGUAUGAGAGCAUGCUGGGAAGUGUUAUCACUGCCAGGGAUCGCUGGCUAAAAUGCGGAGGUAUUAUUCUUCCAUCAAAUGCAACGUUGUACAUGGCACCUGUCACACAUCCUGACAGAUACAGUGAAANNNNNNNNNNCGCAAUGUUUAUGGAAUUGAUAUGUCUGCCAUGAUGCCAUUAGCAAAACAGUGUGCAUUUGAAGAACCAUCUGUGGAGACAAUAUCGGGUGAGAAUGUUUUGACAUGGCCACACAUGGUUAAGCAUGUGGACUGCUACACAAUUCAAGUUCAUGAGCUAGAAUCUGUUACAACAAGAUAUAAGUUCAAGUCUAUGAUGAGAGCUCCAUUGCAUGGGUUUGCAUUUUGGUUUGAUGUUGAAUUCAGUGGGCCGGCAACAUCUCCUAUAAAUACUAUUGCAAAUGAUCCUCCUGUUGAUGGAGUUCAGAAUAAGAAAAGGACAAAUCCAAAUGAUGCACUUGUGCUGUCUACUGCGCCUGAGGACCCUCCAACACACUGGCAGCAGACAGUGAUAUACUUCUAUGAUCCAGUAGAAGUGGAGCAAGAUCAACUGAUUGAAGGUUUAGUGACACUAUCACAAAGCAAAGAAAACCGUAGAUUCAUGAAUAUUCACCUUGAAUACACUUCUGGUGGUCGGUCCUUUGUAAAAGAGUCAGUAAUGAGGUGAUCUCCUUAGGAGUCAAAAGUCAUGACCACUUUUACAAGGUUCAACAAUGAAUCCCAGGAUAUGAUAAUUUUCAAGUCUUACCAUUUUGCAUUGCUCAAUGUGUGGCAAUCUUGCUGGCAAAACCCUGCGAACUUGGACUCUUCUGAUGACUACGCAGAUUCAUGGCUCUUACUAAUUGUUACCUUUGAAAAAUGAAACUGUUAAAAAAAUAGAAACAGGUGAAACAACUGUGAAAAAUAGAUUUUGACCCUAUUAAUGGCCUGAGAUUGCUGUUUUAAGUCAGAG